Molecule: small RNA, 160 nt
Filed under: Escherichia coli
Lineage: Bacteria; Pseudomonadati; Pseudomonadota; Gammaproteobacteria; Enterobacterales; Enterobacteriaceae
Description: RtT sRNA
Rfam family: RtT RNA
About the family: This family represents a bacterial cis-regulatory element known as RtT RNA. The exact function of RtT is unknown although it is thought that it may be involved in changing the cellular response in relation to amino acid starvation.
Source: RNAcentral
AUUCUGCCCAUGCGGGGAAGGAUGAGAAGCUUCGACUAAGGUUCGGCUCGAGCGUCAGCGAGAGAGCGUCAGCGAGAGAGCGUCAGCGAGAGAGCGUUGCCGCAGGCAACGACCCGAAGGGCGAAGCGCGCAGCGCUGAGUAAUCCUUCCCCCACCACCA